GAAAAUCGGUUUAACAUCAUGAGAUCAACAUGGCUGUUAAUUUUUGCGCAGUGACCUUUCAGCACACGGACUUUUCCCCAGACUGGACAACAGAGCUGAAGUUUCCCCAACUGAGAGCACUCCUCGAAGCAGGCUGUCUUGGGAAGAUAAAUGAAACUGAACUACUUGGGAAUAAAAAGGGUCUUUAAUCGGGGCAUUUAUAACAGACUCACCACCAAAGUUAAAUGUGUGGCCAUGACACCGCCUCCCUCUGUCUUCUUCGUUCUUCCCGUGGGCGCCUCGUCCUCUUGACUUCAGUCCUGGCCUUCAGUCUCUCCUAACAGCCAUCCUUGACAUUUCUCCGUCUCUCUUGGUGGGGGCAGGACUCCCACAGGCUCCCACACAUCCUAAGCAAGUGUUAGGAGUACCUAUCACUAUGACAGCAUGUCUCCUCCCGUGGAUAACGCUGGCAGAUCUGAGUUCAGAACGGAGUCCCCGAUUGCUCAGACUCUGGGGACCUGCCCACUCUGAAGGUUGAAGAACUGGACUGUUCCUCAGCUCCCUGCUUUACAGUCAGGUAAACUGAGAUUAGUUCUGAGGUGGCGAGAUUUUUCUGUUUUACCAGACCGACAAAAAGAUGAGUGUGCAAACAUGCACACGCUUGCACUGUGUGGUCAGGUGUGACUGGGUAGGGAUUGUCCAGGUGGUAAGAGCUUGAGAGUUAAGAGUGUUUGAGAGAUGACUCAAGGGCAGGCUGUGUCCACGUGGGCCGUCAAGGCCAGCCUGUCAGAUGCUUUCCCAACUAAACUAAAAGAAUAAGGCACAGUCUCCUACAGUCCCAGUGAUCCUAGGCUCCACUGAGGUCACUAUGUGCUGUCCAUUAAAUGUCUUAAGAACAGCCCUGGCCAUGAUAGUCUGAGUGUUUCCACGGCCCCGGGAAUGGAGGUUGCAUUCUGGUGACUUGGGGCUUGAAAGAGAGUCUGCCCCUCCCAGCUUCUUUUAGUUCCUUUUCUUUGUUGACCCAAAUACCCGACAGAAUUUAAAGGAGGAGGAAUUUAGUCUUGACGUACACUGUGAAAAGAUGCAGUCUGUCAUGGUGGGGAUGCGGUGGUGGCAGGGCCAUGAGGCAGCCUGUCACACUGCAUCUGCAGCCCGGUGUCUAAGAGAGAUUGGCCCUGGCGCUCGGUCCAGGACCCCAGCCCACUGAAUAGUGCCCCACCCCACUCGGGGUGGCUCUUCCCUCUUCAGUAAAACCACUCUGGAAACCACCUCAGAGACACACCCACAGAGGAGUUCCCAUGGUAAUGCAAAACCCAGUCAAGUGGCAAGGGCACCAGCCAAGACACCUGUGUGUCCUCUUCAGAGAUUAGGAAGUCCGGGGCGUGAGCUGUGUGAGUGUGUGCAUGAAUGAGUGCAGGAGUGUGAGACGGCAGAAGCUGCAGGAUCGCGGGCUGCCCGCCAUUGUCUGGAUGGGCAGAAGUGUGCAGGCAAGAGAGCAACAGCCUGCUGAGGGCUGGGUGGAGCACAGCCUGUGCUCUGCGCUCACAGGAUUGACUUCCCUCUGCCAGCUAGCAGCCGCCUCAGUUUCUCAGGAUUCUCCAAUGGUGGUCUGGAAGGCA
Peromyscus maniculatus bairdii (prairie deer mouse) is the source of this 1598-nucleotide non-coding RNA. The record is from RefSeq and is a predicted model, not a curated record. NCBI's taxonomy places the organism in Eukaryota, Metazoa, Chordata, Mammalia, Rodentia, Cricetidae.